Molecule: long non-coding RNA, 200 nt
Filed under: Nicotiana benthamiana
Lineage: Eukaryota; Viridiplantae; Streptophyta; Magnoliopsida; Solanales; Solanaceae
Description: long non-coding RNA (NBEN_LNC027932)
Source: RNAcentral
AGUUCAUCACCAGUGGCAUAAGUAGAGGAGGCAUAUGCGGUGGGGAGGCACACAAGGUACUUCCUUGAAAUUAAAUAAUAAAUCAAGGUACGGAAUGUACACAUGGUUAUAACAUAAUUAUUUUAAAUUAAAAAGGUAUCAAGACGCGGAAUGCACACAUGAUCCUUUUAUUAUUUAAGCGUAUCAAUCCAAGGUUCGGG